UAUAUAUAUUCAUACGUAUUAUCGCACUCAGUAUAUAGCGCAAUGAGUCGCUCAUGAUAUAUUUUAUAUGGCUCCACUAAAAAAUGUAGAAAUAUUUCUCUAUAUGAUUUUAUCUUUAUUUUAUUUCAUCAAUCAAAUAAAAUAAAUUUGAAAAGCCAUAAAAUUAAGGAUUAAUUUCAUACAGAUUUCUGCAAACAUAGUGAGUUGCAAAUAUAUUUAUACAAAGUUCAACUUUCAUAUAUUGUCCUUAUAAAAGUUCUAAUAUUUUCAAAUAUAUCUCUCUAGUUUGUUACCGUUAAAACACUGUUUAUUUUAUAAGUAAAAUGACAUUUUUGUCAUCACAAAUAUAUUUUUAAAAAAAUUUCAAUUGUUAAUUGAAGAGGAGUAAAAAGGUCAAUUCACCUUAUUAACUAGCUAAGAUUAAAUAUUUUACUAUAGUUAAUUUUUCUAACGGAUCUUAACGACAACGACAUAUUUAAAAACAUCAAGAGUUUUGUAGGGAUAACAUAUGAAAGUUAAAUUCUAUAGAAAUAUAUUUACAAUUAACUAUGUGUGUAGGGAUCUGCAUAAAAUUAGCCGUAAAAUUAAAUAAGUUAUAGUUGAGGG
Molecule: long non-coding RNA, 606 nt
Filed under: Ananas comosus (pineapple)
Lineage: Eukaryota; Viridiplantae; Streptophyta; Magnoliopsida; Poales; Bromeliaceae
Description: long non-coding RNA (ACOM_LNC031909)
Source: RNAcentral